This 263-nucleotide ribosomal RNA is filed under the name Stenotrophomonas maltophilia. RNAcentral's name for it is "partial 16S ribosomal RNA". It matches the Rfam family "Bacterial small subunit ribosomal RNA", at positions 164 to 420 of the family's 1533-position model. Lineage: Bacteria; Pseudomonadati; Pseudomonadota; Gammaproteobacteria; Lysobacterales; Lysobacteraceae. The record is from RNAcentral.
UAAUACCGCAUAAUAACUUGGACCGCAUGGUCCGAGUUUGAAAGAUGGCUUCGGCUAUCACUUUUGGAUGGUCCCGCGGCGUAUUAGCUAGAUGGUGGGGUAACGGCUCACCAUGGCAAUGAUACGUAGCCGACCUGAGAGGGUAAUCGGCCACAUUGGGACUGAGACACGGCCCAAACUCCUACGGGAGGCAGCAGUAGGGAAUCUUCCACAAUGGACGAAAGUCUGAUGGAGCAACGCCGCGUGAGUGAAGAAGGGUUUCG